AACUUAACGCAAAUCACUUGAUCCAUCAUAUAUUUCUACUGGAAAUUACAAAACACAACACAGGAAAAAACUAAAGAGAUUACAAAUAAAGAUACAUAAUACAAACAUCCCAAGUCUUUAGACUAAUUACAGACCCUAGCUAACACUAUAUAUACACUGCUAGUUCCCACACAGCAUAUGGAUAUCCAUAACAACACCAGUAGGAGAAAUUUUCACCAAAGUGAGAAGCAUAUGACUUAGAAUGGUUAGAAGCAUAGGCUGCUUCAAAAAAUAAACUUGUAAAGAAUGGCAAGAAUCAUAUUUCUUCUCAGCACCAGUAGAAGAAAUGCAACAAAAUCAGACCCAUGUCGACUUCUUGGAAUGUUAAAUCUGGAAAAAUAAAAUUCAACAUAAGAGAUGUUUAACUUAACAGAAGUGAUAAACUUUAGAAACAUUAGUUGCUAAAGUAAUGGUUAAUGAAAAGGCUUUCAAGUGAAAUUUAAAAGUCUAUCAAGUUUGAUAAAUUAGAAUAUAAAUACAACAAUGUCAAGAGUUCCAAAAAAAGGCUUACAAAAGCUCAUGGACACACAUUAAGCAUCUGCUACAAAAGCUCGUUUGAAAGUUGUAAAUUCUAGUUUAAGUUAAAAAGACAAUAAUAAUGAAUCCCUAAUAUAUAGAUUGUUGUACACUAUUAUAUAGAUUUACAUGAGUUUAAAGUGCUGUUACAGAGAGAGAAAACUGAAGCUAAUAAUAGAAGGUUGUUACAGGGCUAUAGAGCAAAAGACAGAUAAGGCUAAAACAUAUUUACAACUUACGAAUCCAAAAUUAUUAACAUAAAGAUAGAAUAGCAGUAACUAUAUUGUGAGAACUACAAUAAAAAGCCGUGAUAAUAGCAAAAUCCAUCUGCAAAACUAUGGACUUAAUUUGAAGUGGGGACAGGAAC
This 922-nucleotide long non-coding RNA is filed under the name Medicago truncatula (barrel medic). Its description in RNAcentral is "long non-coding RNA (MTRU_LNC006353)". Lineage: Eukaryota; Viridiplantae; Streptophyta; Magnoliopsida; Fabales; Fabaceae. The record is from RNAcentral.